Molecule: long non-coding RNA, 706 nt
Organism: Panicum virgatum (switchgrass)
Lineage: Eukaryota; Viridiplantae; Streptophyta; Magnoliopsida; Poales; Poaceae
Exons: 2
Source: RefSeq, a predicted model, not a curated record
GUCUACCGUCUACCUCCUCCUCCGCGGCCGCCGCUCCUCUCGAAUCCCUUGCGGAGCUGCGCCUCACCCUUCUCCCCCGCGUCAUCCGCUGCGACCUCCGCAUCUUCCACUGCGAGAACCCACUCCGACCGAAUGGAUCUACUGGAAGGUGUCGCCGUGUCGGUGACAGAGCCGGAUGCCGCUGGCCGUGACCGUGAUCUCCAGCUCCUGCUCCUCAGUCCUCAUCAAGAUGAAGGUGUUGUUUACCUGAUGACCAGGAAGAAAUACAAGCAACCCAAGGCACGGGUUCUCGCUCUUCACACGAGGAACAAGACACUGCUGGGCGCAUCUGAAAAGCCAACCCUGUCCACCUGCCAUGUAAUGCUCUACUUAGUGCCAUUGCCAACUAUAUGAAUCCAGAGACGGACACAAGUAGGUGAUAAAGAAGGAUGCCUAGGAUGUUCCUUAAAGCCUGGAAAUAAAAAUUGAUCUCACUUGAGGCUCGUCCGUUGGAUGAGCUCCUUCGAUGUUUCAAGUCUUCAAAGUGUGGAAUUUUCAUGGCUGUUAUAGGAGGCAUACAGAGCAUACCCAUGGGUGUGCUGACUUGUGAGUUUGUAGUGGAAUGCAGGUCAUGUCGGGGGUCAAAAAUCAACAAUGUAACGCGUCCUGAAUUUCUGUCAUGAUGAGAUCACAUCUAGACUUGUUUGCAAAAGGAAGCUUCCAUCUA